UGGGGAAUAUUGCACAAUGGGCGCAAGCCUGAUGCAGCCAUGCCGCGUGUAUGAAGAAGGCCUUCGGGUUGUAAAGUACUUUCAGCGGGGAGGAAGGCGAUAAGGUUAAUAACCUUGUCGAUUGACGUUACCCGCAGAAGAAGCACCGGCUAACUCCGUGCCAGCAGCCGCGGUAAUACGGAGGGUGCAAGCGUUAAUAGGAAUUACUGGGCGUAAAGCGCACGCAGGCGGUCUGUCAAGUCGGAUGUGAAAUCCCCGGGCUCAACCUGGGAACUGCAUUCGAAACUGGUAGGCUAGAGUCUUGUAGAGGGGGGUAGAAUUCCAGGUGUAGCGGUGAAAUGCGUAGAGAUCUGGAGGAAUACCGGUGGCGAAGGCGGCCCCCUGGACAAAGACUGACGCUCAGGUGCGAAAGCGUGGGGAGCAAACA
RNAcentral lists this ribosomal RNA (427 nucleotides) under uncultured bacterium. RNAcentral's name for it is "partial 16S ribosomal RNA". It matches the Rfam family "Bacterial small subunit ribosomal RNA", at positions 355 to 774 of the family's 1533-position model. The record is from RNAcentral.